RNAcentral lists this transfer RNA (77 nucleotides) under Algoriphagus lacus. RNAcentral's name for it is "Algoriphagus sp. N3 tRNA-Pro". It matches the Rfam family "tRNA". From Rfam's summary of the family: Transfer RNA (tRNA) molecules are approximately 80 nucleotides in length. Their secondary structure includes four short double-helical elements and three loops (D, anti-codon, and T loops). The record is from RNAcentral. Lineage: Bacteria; Pseudomonadati; Bacteroidota; Cytophagia; Cytophagales; Cyclobacteriaceae.
CGGGGUGUGGCGCAGCCCGGUAGCGUACACGUCUGGGGGGCGUGUGGUCGCAGGUUCAAAUCCUGUCACCCCGACAA